GUAGGUGAACNUGCGGAAGGAUCAUUA
Molecule: ribosomal RNA, 27 nt
Filed under: Phytophthora quercina
Lineage: Eukaryota; Oomycota; Peronosporomycetes; Peronosporales; Peronosporaceae
Also listed under: 2 other names
Description: partial 18S ribosomal RNA
Source: RNAcentral